Molecule: transfer RNA, 71 nt
Filed under: Danionella translucida
Lineage: Eukaryota; Metazoa; Chordata; Actinopteri; Cypriniformes; Danionidae
Also listed under: 1 other name
Rfam family: tRNA
About the family: Transfer RNA (tRNA) molecules are approximately 80 nucleotides in length. Their secondary structure includes four short double-helical elements and three loops (D, anti-codon, and T loops).
Source: Rfam by way of RNAcentral
GGCUGGUGGUCUAAGGGUAUGAUUCUCGCUUUGGGUGUGAGAGGUCCCGGGUUCAAAUCCCGGAUGAGCCC